RNAcentral lists this long non-coding RNA (1304 nucleotides) under Homo sapiens (human). Its description in RNAcentral is "HSALNT0263084". The record is from RNAcentral. Lineage: Eukaryota; Metazoa; Chordata; Mammalia; Primates; Hominidae.
UGCUUCUGCAUAACAGGAGACGUGGGAAGCCCAGCAGAACCUGGGCCCCACACUCAUAAGACUGUGAAGGAGACAGGGAUGGAGGGCAUUGCUGGGAAAAGGCAGGCAGGCACCAGUGGAAACAAGGCAUACGGCAAGAGAAAAAGAGUGUGUGGGAGCUGUACGGCAUGCCGGGCCUGCUGGGGACACAACCAUGUAUUCCUUACAACACAGACAUCAUCCCCAUUUGACAGAUGGGAAGAUUGGGGCUUGGGGCUCAGAGACAUCGGGUGACUUGGAGGAAGGGAGACCCCCCAGUCAACAACCUACCCACUGCCUCCUGGCCCCCAAUUCAUGCCCCGGCUCACUUGGCCCUGUCAGCUCCAGGAGCUUGCUCAGCUGGGUCCAUCCUGUGGACAAGCCCGAGCGGCAGCGGUAGCGGCCCUGGGUGUCACCCGUCAGCAGGAACUGGUGCUUGAUGGCAGGGACCCAGACCCCAGGAGGCCUCACCCCACAGCAAGAGAAAGACCACGAGCAUGGACAUGAUGGUCGCGCUCACUCCGGUGCAGUGAGUGUCUGGGUGAUGGAUCCUAGAACCUGUUCUAGAAGGAGACGCUGAGUUCUCCCCACUCUACCUGGAGCUGCUGAGGUCAAGUGGAGAGUGCCGGGGCUGAAGCCCAGCGAGCCCCUCCCUGUCACACCACACUGCACAUGUGACACCAAAGGUGGGGUUCACCUCUUUUCAGACUUUCUGCGGUUGCCCUCACAUGGGCUGUCUGGAGGUGCACCCUCACUCUUCCUGAGGACUGUGGUUCCUUCUCCAUCACUGGUUCAUUCUGCAUGGUGUGACCCACCACGGCUCUGGAGUCGGAUUUCCACCCAGGUCAUUCAGCUGAGACCUGCGCUUCCCAGGCCUACCCGUGACAUGUGCUCAGUUACCUGAGCUGCUGGUGGUCACUCAUGUGGCUAUAGCCUGCUGCCUGGAGGCCAGGCCUCCCGCUUCCCCUGCCUCCCCCUCUCCUCACCACAGCCUGUUGGGAUGGAACAGGACAGGGGUGAGACCGUGGUGCUUUCACACUCAGCCUCCAUGGACAUCCUGUCAUUCCCACCCGGGGAGGUCUGGUCCCCACCCUGGGUGUCCCAGCCUAGCUCCGCUACGAGUGUGAGGGCCCAGGGCAACCGCCUAGCCCUCAUCUGCCCCCUGCACUGCAUCCUCCCCACUCAUUCAUUCCACAGGCAUUUAUUGAGCAUCUACUGUGUGCCAGAUGCAAAGAAGACAGUGGGAUAACUGGGCAAGGAGCAUUCCAGGCAGAGGGAACAGCCAG